RNAcentral lists this ribosomal RNA (895 nucleotides) under uncultured bacterium. RNAcentral's name for it is "bacterial SSU rRNA". It matches the Rfam family "Bacterial small subunit ribosomal RNA", at positions 25 to 916 of the family's 1533-position model. The record is from RNAcentral.
CAGGAUGAACGCUAGCGACAGGCCUAACACAUGCAAGUCGAGGGGCAGCAUUUCUAGCUUGCUAGAAGAUGGCGACCGGCGCACGGGUGAGUAACGCGUAUGCAACCUACCUUAUACUGGGGGAUAGCCCAGAGAAAUCUGGAUUAAUACCGCAUAACAAUGUUUUAUCGCAUGAUAAGAUAUUUAAAACUCCGGUGGUAUAAGAUGGGCAUGCGUAGCAUUAGUUAGUUGGUGAGGUAACGGCUCACCAAGACAAUGAUGCUUAGGGGGUCUGAGAGGAUAGUCCCCCACACUGGUACUGAGACACGGACCAGACUCCUACGGGAGGCAGCAGUGAGGAAUAUUGGUCAAUGGACGCAAGUCUGAACCAGCCAUGUCGCGUGCAGGAUGACGGCCCUAUGGGUUGUAAACUGCUUUUUUACAGGAAUAAUUGUCUCUACGUGUAGAGAUUUGAAUGUACUGUAUGAAUAAGGAUCGGCUAACUCCGUGCCAGCAGCCGCGGUAAUACGGAGGAUUCGAGCGUUAUCCGGAUUUAUUGGGUUUAAAGGGUCCGUAGGCGGUCUUUUAAGUCAGUGGUGAAAUCCCAGAGCUCAACUCUGGAACUGCCAUUGAAACUGAAAGACUUGAAUAUGGUUGAGGUAGGCGGAAUACGUUAUGUAGCGGUGAAAUGCAUAGAUAUAACGUAGAACACCAAUUGCGAAGGCAGCUUACUAAACCAUUAUUGACGCUGAUGGACGAAAGCGUGGGGAGCGAACAGGAUUAGAUACCCUGGUAGUCCACGCCGUAAACGAUGAUUACUCGUUGUGCACAAUACACCGUGCGUGACCGAGCGAAAGCAUUAAGUAAUCCACCUGGGGAGUACGUUCGCAAGAAUGAAACUCAAAUGAAUUGACGG